This 510-nucleotide ribosomal RNA is filed under the name uncultured bacterium. RNAcentral's name for it is "partial 16S ribosomal RNA". It matches the Rfam family "Bacterial small subunit ribosomal RNA", at positions 28 to 507 of the family's 1533-position model. The record is from RNAcentral.
GACGAACGCUGGCGGCGUGCUUAACACAUGCGAGUCGAACGAAGAGCGAUGGAAGCUUGCUUCUAUCAAUCUUAGUGGCGAACGGGUGAGUAACGCGUAAUCAACCCGCCCUUCAGAGGGGGACAACAGUUGGAAACGACUGCUAAUACCGCAUACGAUCUAAUCUCGGCAUCGAGGAUAGAUGAAAGGUGGCCUCUACGUGUAAGUUAUCACUGAAGGAGGGGAUUGCGUCUGAUUAGCUAGUUGGAGGGGUAACGGCCCACCAAGGCGAUGAUCAGUAGCCGGUCUGAGAGGAUGAACGGCCACAUUGGGACUGAGACACGGCCCAGACUCCUACGGGAGGCAGCAGUGGGGAAUCUUCCGCAAUGGACGAAAGUCUGACGGAGCAACGCCGCGUGAGUGAUGACGGCCUUCGGGUUGUAAAGCUCUGUUAAUCGGGACGAAAGGCCUUCUUGCGAAUAGUGAGAAGGAUUGACGGUACCGGAAUAGAAAGCCACGGCUAACUACGUG